UACGGAGGGUGCAAACGUUGCUCGGAAUUAUUGGGCGUAAAGCGCACGUAGGUGGUCUGUUAAGUCGGAUGUGAAAGCCCUUGGCUUAACCGAGGAAGUGCAUCCGAAACUGGCGAGCUAGAGUACGAAAGAGGAUCGCGGAAUUCCCGGUGUAGAGGUGAAAUUCGUAGAUAUCGGGAGGAACACCGGUGGCGAAGGCGGCGAUCUGGGUCGAUACUGA
RNAcentral lists this ribosomal RNA (220 nucleotides) under uncultured bacterium. RNAcentral's name for it is "partial 16S ribosomal RNA". It matches the Rfam family "Bacterial small subunit ribosomal RNA", at positions 524 to 743 of the family's 1533-position model. The record is from RNAcentral.